Molecule: ribosomal RNA, 235 nt
Filed under: uncultured bacterium
Lineage: Bacteria
Description: partial 16S ribosomal RNA
Rfam family: Bacterial small subunit ribosomal RNA
Source: RNAcentral
CGGGACGGGGUGGAGUAAUGUCUGGGAAACUGCCUGAUGGAGGGGGGUAACUACUGGAAGCGGUAGCUAAUACCGCAUAACGUCGCAAGACCAAAGAGGGGGACCUUAGGGCCUCUUGCCAUCGGAUGUGCCCAGAUGGGAUUAGCUAGUAGGUGGGGUAACGGCUCACCUAGGCGACGAUCCCUAGCUGGUCUGAGAGGAUGACCAGCCACACUGGAACUGAGACACGGUCCAG